This 581-nucleotide ribosomal RNA is filed under the name uncultured bacterium. Its description in RNAcentral is "bacterial SSU rRNA". It matches the Rfam family "Bacterial small subunit ribosomal RNA", at positions 919 to 1504 of the family's 1533-position model. The record is from RNAcentral.
ACCCGCACAAGCGGUGGAUGAUGUGGUUUAAUUCGAUGCAACGCGAAAAACCUUACCCACCUUUGACAUGUACGGAAUUUGCCAGAGAUGGCUUAGUGCUCGAAAGAGAGCCGUAACACAGGUGCUGCAUGGCUGUCGUCAGCUCGUGUCGUGAGAUGUUGGGUUAAGUCCCGCAACGAGCGCAACCCUUGUCAUUAGUUGCUACGAAAGGGCACUCUAAUGAGACUGCCGGUGACAAACCGGAGGAAGGUGGGGAUGACGUCAAGUCCUCAUGGCCCUUAUAGGUGGGGCUACACACGUCAUACAAUGGCCGGUACAAAGGGUCGCAAACCCGCGAGGGGGAGCUAAUCCAUCAAAGCCGGUCGUAGUCCGGAUCGCAGUCUGCAACUCGACUGCGUGAAGUCGGAAUCGCUAGUAAUCGUGGAUCAGCAUGUCACGGUGAAUACGUUCCCGGGUCUUGUACACACCGCCCGUCACACCAUGGGAGCGGGUCUCGCCAGAAGUAGUUAGCCUAACCGCAAGGAGGGCGAUUACCACGGCGGGGUUCGUGACUGGGGUGAAGUCGUAACAAGGUAGCCGUA